AUAAUGGUAACAACUUAGGCACUAAGUGUUUAAAGUGUUUAUUAUUGACAGCAAAAGUUGAGAAAAAUAGAUGGAGGGGCAAAGUGUAUGAUGAUGAAAUCACAGUUCACAACUUGGGAUGUCUUCAUCUAUUUUCCAAAAUAAAGGAGCCCCAGUGUAUUAUGGCAUAACAAGGGAUAAAAAAUUAAUUUUCCCUAUUUUGAUUGGUUAUUUCUUAUUUCAAGUUGAAAUCUUGCAAGAAAGUGGAAGACUAAUGUAUUGUGCUGUGUUUCAAAUAUGAUUUUGCACAAUGGUUAAUUUGGCUUGUGUUGGGUUCUUAAGGCCUGUAUAUGAUAUUAUUCACCACCCAUUAUGGCGUGGACUUGGAACUUAUAGGAGGCUUAUUUCAAGUUAAAUUUUUUAAUUUUCAUGUGCAUGUGGACCAUGUUGUACGUCAAUUUGUUCAUAGGUUAUUCUUUCUGAUUUGUAGCUCAGGAAACAUUUUAUUUUCUGGUGUGGUAGACGGAGUUCUAGAAGCUUUUAAAUUAUUAUAAUCUGGUUUUAUAUCUACUGGAAUUCACUUUAUUUGGCUGCAAUCAUUGUUUAAUUCACAAGGAAGGCCCUAAUUCUUGAUUGUUGAUCUUUCUAG
This 628-nucleotide unclassified non-coding RNA is filed under the name Hevea brasiliensis (rubber tree). The record is from RNAcentral. Lineage: Eukaryota; Viridiplantae; Streptophyta; Magnoliopsida; Malpighiales; Euphorbiaceae.